UCCAGUUCCGUUGGGAUUUCAAAGGCUGCC
This 30-nucleotide non-coding RNA is filed under the name Mus musculus (house mouse). Lineage: Eukaryota; Metazoa; Chordata; Mammalia; Rodentia; Muridae. The record is from RNAcentral.